Molecule: transfer RNA, 67 nt
Filed under: Lefua costata (eightbarbel loach)
Lineage: Eukaryota; Metazoa; Chordata; Actinopteri; Cypriniformes; Nemacheilidae
Description: tRNA-Cys
Rfam family: tRNA
About the family: Transfer RNA (tRNA) molecules are approximately 80 nucleotides in length. Their secondary structure includes four short double-helical elements and three loops (D, anti-codon, and T loops). Further hydrogen bonds mediate the characteristic L-shaped molecular structure. tRNAs have two regions of fundamental functional importance: the anti-codon, which is responsible for specific mRNA codon recognition, and the 3' end, to which the tRNAs corresponding amino acid is attached (by aminoacyl-tRNA synthetases). tRNAs cope with the degeneracy of the genetic code in two manners: having more than one tRNA (with a specific anti-codon) for a particular amino acid; and 'wobble' base-pairing, i.e. permitting non-standard base-pairing at the 3rd anti-codon position.
Source: RNAcentral
AGCCCCGUGGUGUAGUACCAUAUAGGAUUGCAAAUCCCAAGACGCAGAUUAACGUCUGCCGGGGCUU